Odocoileus virginianus texanus is the source of this 666-nucleotide long non-coding RNA. RefSeq lists it as uncharacterized. Lineage: Eukaryota; Metazoa; Chordata; Mammalia; Artiodactyla; Cervidae. The record is from RefSeq and is a predicted model, not a curated record.
CAUCUCCUGCAUCGGCAGGUGGAAAGUCAGACACACUCAGUGACUAAACCACCACCAGCCACACCCGAGGGAAGUGCUGGCGCUGUGAGCAGUGAGUGACUGGGAGACCAAGGUUGGGGCGCUGCUCGGCCAGGAAGGCUUCCUGGAAAAGAGAUGAGGGAGGUUUAAAAAACAAACAAAACAGACAAGGGGAAGAUGGAACAUCUCAGCUGAGGAAACAGAAUCAUAAAACUCUAGCCAGGUGAUACAUUUCCCCUGGAGAACAACGGAGAAGACACCUGUAGGGCAGAUCAGGGUCUGGCCGCAGAGACUCAAGAACCGGAUUGUGAAAAGCAAGAAGCUGUGGCCGUGACAGAGGCUCGAGCGAGAUUCAGCCCCAAGCCAGGAGCUGAUGACAGCGGGAUUCAGAGGAAGGGAACGGUGCCCAGUCAAGGUGAUCAAGUAUGAAAAUCCAGCCAUCUUCGGGCCUCCUUCCCUGGAUUUCCAAAAAAGGUUCACGAUGCAAAUGUGGUGACAUGCCCUGGAACGCCAGAGAAACCAGGGCCACGGGAAGCCUGCGCUUCCUUCAGAGGCCAGCACUGGCGAGCCCCACAUCGGGAGAAGGCGCCGCCUCCCAGCACCCUGUCCCCGCCGGCGCUCACGCACCUACCAGCGGACCGUGGGGAG